Molecule: non-coding RNA, 24 nt
Filed under: Arabidopsis thaliana (thale cress)
Lineage: Eukaryota; Viridiplantae; Streptophyta; Magnoliopsida; Brassicales; Brassicaceae
Source: RNAcentral
UACGAAACGAUAUACUACGGGUGA